RNAcentral lists this long non-coding RNA (399 nucleotides) under Populus trichocarpa (black cottonwood). RNAcentral's name for it is "long non-coding RNA (PTRI_LNC000793)". The record is from RNAcentral. Lineage: Eukaryota; Viridiplantae; Streptophyta; Magnoliopsida; Malpighiales; Salicaceae.
GACAACCUUAGACAGAAGCAUGGGACCCCAUUUCGAAAUCCCUCCGGCAAGCCUCGGAGCAUUUGUGACAAUCUUCAUGCUGGCAAGCCUCGUGUUGUAUGAUCGUUGCUUUGUCCCAAUAGCUAGACACUACACAAAAAACCCAAGAGGGAUUACUAUGCUGCAAAGAAUGGGGAUUGGUAUUAUCUUGCAUAUUAUUGUCAUGAUCGUAGCUUUCGUAGUUGAAAGGAAAAGACUCAGUGUUGCAAGAGAACAUAAUAUUGUAGGCAAACUAGAAGUAGUGCCUCUCAGCAUUUUUGUACUCCUACCUCAGUUUGCUUUAGUAGGGAUUUCUGAUACGUUCUUGGAAGUAGCCAAGCUAGAGUUUUUCUAUGACCAGGCCCCGGAAGGAAUGAAAAG